UUAAAUUGAAGAGUUUGAUCAUGGCUCAGAUUGAACGCUGGCGGCAGGCCUAACACAUGCAAGUCGAACGGUAACAGGAAGCAGCUUGCUGCUUCGCUGACGAGUGGCGGACGGGUGAGUAAUGUCUGGGAAACUGCCUGAUGGAGGGGGAUAACUACUGGAAACGGUAGCUAAUACCGCAUAACGUCGCAAGACCAAAGAGGGGGACCUUCGGGCCUCUUGCCAUCGGAUGUGCCCAGAUGGGAUUAGCUUGUUGGUGGGGUAACGGCUCACCAAGGCGACGAUCCCUAGCUGGUCUGAGAGGAUGACCAGCCACACUGGAACUGAGACACGGUCCAGACUCCUACGGGAGGCAGCAGUGGGGAAUAUUGCACAAUGGGCGCAAGCCUGAUGCAGCCAUGCCGCGUGUAUGAAGAAGGCCU
RNAcentral lists this ribosomal RNA (422 nucleotides) under Escherichia coli. RNAcentral describes it as "bacterial SSU rRNA". It matches the Rfam family "Bacterial small subunit ribosomal RNA", at positions 1 to 417 of the family's 1533-position model. The record is from RNAcentral. Lineage: Bacteria; Pseudomonadati; Pseudomonadota; Gammaproteobacteria; Enterobacterales; Enterobacteriaceae.